RNAcentral lists this ribosomal RNA (497 nucleotides) under uncultured bacterium. Its description in RNAcentral is "partial 16S ribosomal RNA". It matches the Rfam family "Bacterial small subunit ribosomal RNA", at positions 28 to 507 of the family's 1533-position model. The record is from RNAcentral.
GGCGAACGCUGGCGGCGUGCCUAAUACAUGCAAGUUGAGCGAUGAAGCUUGGUGCUUGCACCAAUUUGAAGAGCAGCGCACGGGUGAGUAACGCGUGGGGAAUCUGCCUUUGAGCGGGGGACAACAUUUGGAAACGAAUGCUAAUACCGCAUAACAACUUUAUACAUAAGUUUUAAGAUUGAAAGAUGCAAUUGCAUCACUCAAUGAUGACUCCGCGUUGUAUUAGCUAGUUGGUGAGGUAAAGGCUCACCAAGGUGAGGAUACAUAGCCGACCUGAGAGGGUGAUCAGCCACAUUGAGACUGAGACACGGCCCAAACGCCUACGGGAGGCAGCAGUAGUGAAUCUUCGGCAAGGGACGAGAGUCUGACCGAGCAACGCCGCGUGAGUGAAGAAGGUUUUCGGAUCGGAAAACUCUGUUGGUAGGGAAGAACGUUGGUGAGAGUGGAAAGCUCAUCAAGUGACGGUAACUACCCAGAAAGGGACGGCUAACUACGUG